Molecule: long non-coding RNA, 182 nt
Organism: Xiphophorus couchianus (Monterrey platyfish)
Lineage: Eukaryota; Metazoa; Chordata; Actinopteri; Cyprinodontiformes; Poeciliidae
Exons: 3
Source: RefSeq, a predicted model, not a curated record
UGUUACAGGGCGUCUUGUCACUUUAAAUCUAAAUAAGCUGCUGCUGGCCACGCCCCCAAACUCAACGUUUACACUCAAACAUGAAAAUAGCUGCAAAGAGUUGCGAAAUUAUACAACCAUACAUCUUUGAAAAGCAGAAGUGGAGCCUCCUACACAACCAUUAGCAAGUUGAAGCAACUGGA